Long non-coding RNA from Gossypium raimondii (Peruvian cotton), 908 nucleotides. RefSeq lists it as uncharacterized. NCBI's taxonomy places the organism in Eukaryota, Viridiplantae, Streptophyta, Magnoliopsida, Malvales, Malvaceae. The record is from RefSeq and is a predicted model, not a curated record. The transcript is spliced from 4 exons.
CUCCCCCUCCGAAAUCCCCAACUUUCCCCCCAAAAAUCCCUAAUUUCCCACAUCCAAGAAAAAAAACCCAAAAGCUUAGGAAACGAUGAGAAAAAGAGCAAAAAGGGAUUGCGACUAUUGGCUCGUGUUAAACCAUAUGAGAUUUUCUUGAAAUCUAUAACCAAGGAUGUUACCAAUGUUCAGAUUACAUACCCUUGCAGGUUCUUUUUCUUGUUCCUUACUAAUGCAACAUAUUCUGUUUUUACAGAAGAACAUCAAUAAAGAUGCUUCAAUGGAGUUGUUGGACUUUUCACAAGGCUUUUCGGGUACACAUUUUAAGGGCAAAUCAUCAUCAUUCCAGAAAAAACUUGGUUUCCUAAAAUCUGGAAAAGCAGGUUCGAAAAACCUGCAGGAGCUGCAACAAUAUAUUUUUUGAUGCAUUUAGUUGGUUUGCAGUUUAUGGUUAUAUAGUAGAAGAGAUAAGCAUAGAGAAAUGGUCGAUCACCCACACUAAUUUCCUAUCCUGAACAGUCUUCUUCAUCUGUUAGUAGCCGUUGUUUUGACAAUCAUGGUAUAAGAUGAUCACCCACAUCAACAGUCAUUGGACCUUCCAAGCAUCGGCAUUCAACUCUUGGGGAUCCCAAUUUUGUGGAGAAUUACUUCAAGCCUUGGGAAGAAAGUUUGCGGGAUGCACACGAGUUUGGAAAACUUGGGAAGAAAGUUUGGAAUGCCUUCAAUGAAACUUGCAGAGCAAAGAUGGUGCAGCAGACUGCAUUGUAUUUUUUAUUACCUUGCAAUAUGUAUGGUCAUAGGCAGGUUUAACUAGUCAGUCUGUUUGUCAUAUGUAUUAUUUAUUUUAGUUUUGAUUCUAAAUUUUUAUUUUUACUUUAAUAUUUACGACAAUUUGAGUUCUAACUUUUGGAUUUUAA